GCAGGCGCGAAACCUUUACACUGUACGCAAGUGCGAUAAGGGGACUCCGAGUGUGAAGGCAUAGAGCCUUCACUUUUGUACACCGUAAGGUGGUGUACGAAUAAGGGCUGGGCAAGACCGGUGCCAGCCGCCGCAGUAGUACCGGCAGCCCGAGUGAUGGCCGAUAUUAUUGGGCCUAAAGCGUCCGUAGCUGGCCGGACAAGUCCGUUGGGAAAUCUGUUCGCUUAACGAGCAGGCGUCCAGCGGAAACUGUUCGGCUUGGGACCGGAAGACCUGAGGGGUACGUCCGGGGUAGGAGUGAAAUCCUGUAAUCCUGGACGGACCACCGGUGGCGAAAGCGCCUCAGGAGGACGGAUCCGACAGUGAGGGACGAAAGCUAGGGUCUCGAACCGGAUUAGAUACCCGGGUAGUCCUAGCUGUAAACGAUGCCCGCUAGGUGUGGCGCAGGCUACGAGCCUGCGCUGUGCCGUAGGGAAGCCGAGAAGCAGGCCGCCUGGGAAGUACGUCUGCAAGGAUGAAACUUAAAGGAAUUGGCGGGGGAGCACUACAACCGGAGGAGCCUGCGGUUUAAUUGGAUUCAACGCCGG
This 587-nucleotide ribosomal RNA is filed under the name uncultured haloarchaeon. RNAcentral describes it as "bacterial SSU rRNA". It matches the Rfam family "Archaeal small subunit ribosomal RNA", at positions 335 to 921 of the family's 1478-position model. The record is from RNAcentral. Lineage: Archaea; Methanobacteriati; Methanobacteriota; Halobacteria; Halobacteriales; Halobacteriaceae.